This 170-nucleotide small RNA is filed under the name Chrysemys picta bellii (western painted turtle). Its description in RNAcentral is "TUC338 (ENSCPBG00000009156.1)". Lineage: Eukaryota; Metazoa; Chordata; Testudines; Emydidae. The record is from RNAcentral.
UUGACAGACUUAAGAUACAGAAGUCCUCUAUUUAUCCACAGAACAUAUACAGCACAGGCAGCAAUAGUGCACGUCCCCAAACUGACCCAUGGAAGUGCCUCAACCCCAUUCUGCAGAGACCACCUCAAAGAGGACAAUUCAGCUUUAGGCUCUUUCAGGGCUUAGCCUCU